CCUACGGGAGGCAGCAGUGAGGAAUAUUGGUCAAUGGACGGAAGUCUGAACCAGCCAUGCCGCGUGCAGGAAGACGGCUCUAUGAGCUGUAAACUGCGUUUGUACAAGGGUAAACCUGAAUUCGUGUAUUCAGCUGAAAGUACUGUACGAAUAAGGAUCGGCUAACUCCGUGCCAGCAGACGCGGUAAUACGGAGGAUCCAAGCGUUAUCCGGAUUUAUGGGGUUUAAAGGGUGCGUAGGCGGAUUGAUAAGUUAGAGGUGAAAUGUCCGAGCUUAACUCGGGAACUGCCUCUAAUACUGUUGAUCUAGAGAGUAGAUGCGGUAGGCGGAAUGUAUGGUGUAGGGGUGAAAUGCUUAGAGAUCA
This 364-nucleotide ribosomal RNA is filed under the name uncultured bacterium. RNAcentral's name for it is "partial 16S ribosomal RNA". It matches the Rfam family "Bacterial small subunit ribosomal RNA", at positions 338 to 699 of the family's 1533-position model. The record is from RNAcentral.